This 505-nucleotide ribosomal RNA is filed under the name uncultured bacterium. RNAcentral describes it as "partial 16S ribosomal RNA". It matches the Rfam family "Bacterial small subunit ribosomal RNA", at positions 29 to 523 of the family's 1533-position model. The record is from RNAcentral.
AUUGAACGCUGGCGGCAGGCCUAACACAUGCAAGUCGGACGGUAGCACAGAGGAGCUUGCUCCUCGGGUGACGAGUGGCGGACGGGUGAGUAUGUCUGGGGAUCUGCCCGAUAGAGGAGGAUAACCACUGGAAACGGUGGCCAAUAACGCAUAACGUCGCAAGACCAAAGAGGGGGACCUGCGGGCCUCCCACUAUCGGAUGAACCCAGAUGGGAUUAGCUAGUAGGCGGGGUAAUGGCCCACCUAGGCGACGAUCCCUAGCUGGUCUGAGAGGAUGACCAGCCACACUGGAACUGAGACACGGUCCAGACUCCUACGGGAGGCAGCAGUGGGGAAUAUUGCACAAUGGGCGCAAGCCUGAUGCAGCCAUGCCGCGUGUAUGAAGAAGGCCUUCGGGUUGUAAAGUACUUUCAGCGGGGAGGAAGGCGGUGCGGUUAAUAACCGCGCCGAUUGACGUUACCCGCAGAAGAAGCACCGGCUAACUCCGUGCCAGCCGCCGCAGUAA